This 253-nucleotide ribosomal RNA is filed under the name uncultured bacterium. RNAcentral's name for it is "partial 16S ribosomal RNA". It matches the Rfam family "Bacterial small subunit ribosomal RNA", at positions 524 to 776 of the family's 1533-position model. The record is from RNAcentral.
UACGUAGGGGGCUAGCGUUGUCCGGAAUCAUUGGGCGUAAAGCGCGUGUAGGCGGUUCGGUAAGUCCGCUGUGAAAGUCGGGGGCUCAACCCUCGAAAGCCGGUGGAUACCGUCGAACUAGAGUGCGGAAGAGGCGAGUGGAAUUCCUGGUGUAGCGGUGAAAUGCGCAGAUAUCGGAAGGAACACCAGUGGCGAAAGCGGCUUCCUGGUCCAGCACCGACGUUCAGGCACGAAAGCGUGGGGAGCAAACAGG